CACCGCGGUUAUACGAGAGGCCCAAGUUGACAGACACCGGCGUAAAGCGUGGUUAAGGAAAAACUUAAACUAAAGCCGAACACCUUCAGGGCAGUUAUACGUUUCCGAAGGUACGAAGCCCCACCACGAAAGUGGCUUUAUAACCCCUGACCCCACGAAAGCUAUGGAA
This 169-nucleotide ribosomal RNA is filed under the name Caristius macropus (bigmough manefish). RNAcentral's name for it is "partial small subunit ribosomal RNA". The record is from RNAcentral. Lineage: Eukaryota; Metazoa; Chordata; Actinopteri; Scombriformes; Caristiidae.